UCUCAUACUCAUAGUUUGAUCUCUUUCUGCCUAGCUCUCAUGUCUGUCUCUGGAUUGUUUCAAAUCCUAAGAGAAAAGGAAUAUCAUUUAUUGCCUCUUGCAAAGUAAAUACUCCUCUAUUUAACUGACGGGAUGAACCAAUGAUGUCAUUUAACAGUUUGUUUGUUGGUGAUCUCUACUGCUGAAAUCUCAUUAACAUACACAUUUACUCCUUUGAUCUUCACGAUAAUCCCAUGGAAUUGGCAAGUAAAAGGCAUUAUUGACAUUUUACAGACUGUGAACAAGAUGCCACCCCCAAAUGAUGUAGUCAAUGGUGCUACCAAAAUCUACUGCAAAUAACCUAAUAAUUGUACACAGACAUCUUGACAUAGGCCAGUUCUCAACAACAGUAAAAUUUUGAGCCUGGAGUAUGAGAGCUGUAGAAAGGACAGCAGAAAAGAAGCAUUGAAAAUAAAUAAAAACUGGUCAGGGGAAAUUUGACAGAACAGGUAUUGAAGUCUGUUUCUUGCAUUUAUAAAUUGAGUUCACUUUGGCAUAAGAUACCAGCAGACAUCUAAGAUGCAAGAGCUGGAGUGGAAGUUGAUACCUUCCUUAUACUCAAGAUCUCUUUAUUAAUGAUUUUGUCUUCCCAAAAUAAUUAUAAGAAAAAUGAACAAUCAGGGGCCAUUCUACCUAUUGUAAGCCAAAUACUUGGAUAUGUCAAAGAAUCCAACUGUUUAUCUCCAUCUUGUCCUACCGUGCAAGUGACCAAUACUUAGCUUUACUAUCUCCCCAGCUCAGCCUCACUUCAUAUCAAGAAGUGAGU
RNAcentral lists this long non-coding RNA (805 nucleotides) under Homo sapiens (human). RNAcentral describes it as "HSALNT0293017". Lineage: Eukaryota; Metazoa; Chordata; Mammalia; Primates; Hominidae. The record is from RNAcentral.